ACAUUUCAAUAGAAGAUAAUAAUAGCAGGAAAAUUGAUGGAGUUGAAGAAAUUGAGUUACUCAAAUGAAGAUGAUGAUGAUAUUUUAUUUCCUGGAUUUCGGUUUCGUCCGACCGACGAAGAGCUUGUCGGAUUUUAUCUUAAAAGAAAGGUGGAAAUGAAAGCUAUUAAGAUUGAUCUCAUAAAAAAUAUUGAUGUUUAUAAGUACGAGCCAUGGGAUCUUCCAAAACAAGCGAGUAGUGCAGCAGGAGAUAAAGAAAGGGAGUGGUAUUUUUUCUGUAGAAGGGGAAGGAAGUACAAGAACAGCAUAAGACCUAACAGGGUGACAGGAUGUGGAUUCUGGAAAGCUACAGGAAUUGACAAACCAAUAUAUUCUGCAAGAGAAUUCCAGGACUGCAUUGGCCUCAAGAAAUCUUUAGUCUAUUACAGAGGAAGUGCUGGAAAAGGCACUAAAACUGAAUGGAUGAUGCAUGAGUUUCGCCUACCUGCUCCCAAAACUCCAUCUAAUGUUGCUAACAACCGAGAUCUUCAAGAAGCUGAGGUUUGGACACUUUGUCGAAUAUUUAAACGAGAAGCUUCUUACAGAAAAUACUCAUCGUCAAGUUGGCAAAAGUUUGCGUCCAAACAGACUUUUAAAGAUUCAGGCACUAAAAUGAGUUUUUCAGAAUCAUCAGAUGAUGGAUUUAAGUAUAAGAGUUUUGAAGUUUCAACUUAUAAGAUGAUGAAAAUGAAACCUGAUGCUAACAAUUAUUUGUAUGAAAAUAACCAGUUGCUUGCAGGCCAGCUGAGUUUAGCGACUCAAGUUCCUUUAAUGGCUUCACAUGUAAACUUUUGUGACCAAAGUGGAGAUGAAGCAAUAAGUUUUGAAGAUGGGACUUGGGAUGAGCUGAGGCCAAUGGUUGACUAUGCUCUUUGUCAUCCAUAAAUGUUGUCUGGUCUUAGGUAGAGAAGGAAUUAUAUUAAUUACACUUUGUUAUGCCAAUUAAUUAAUA
This 991-nucleotide unclassified non-coding RNA is filed under the name Hevea brasiliensis (rubber tree). Lineage: Eukaryota; Viridiplantae; Streptophyta; Magnoliopsida; Malpighiales; Euphorbiaceae. The record is from RNAcentral.